RNAcentral lists this transfer RNA (57 nucleotides) under Pseudoniphargus gorbeanus. RNAcentral's name for it is "tRNA-Cys". The record is from RNAcentral. Lineage: Eukaryota; Metazoa; Arthropoda; Malacostraca; Amphipoda; Allocrangonyctidae.
AACUAGGAAGUGAUUAUACAUUAAAUUGCAAACUUAAAUUAGCGAAAGCCUUAGUUA